This 65-nucleotide transfer RNA is filed under the name Theopompa sp. FY-2016a. RNAcentral's name for it is "tRNA-Glu". It matches the Rfam family "tRNA". From Rfam's summary of the family: Transfer RNA (tRNA) molecules are approximately 80 nucleotides in length. RNAcentral also lists the same sequence under 1 other name. Lineage: Eukaryota; Metazoa; Arthropoda; Insecta; Mantodea; Gonypetidae. The record is from RNAcentral.
AUUUAUAUAGUUUAAAUAAAACAUUACAUUUUCAUUGUAAAAAUAAGUACUACACUUUAUAAAUA